AGCCGGAUCCAAAAGACAAACAAUUAGACAAUGCAUGCACCCUGAGACAAAAUAAUGUCAGCCUGAGAAACUGCCACGUCUUGCUUUGUUAGCAUUAGCUGCAUGGGAAAGGAGAGAGAUCGGAUCGAUGAGCACUAGAGUACGAAAUAAAUUCGGACUUUAGUCAGACAGCGGAACAUGGAUUUGGGAGCCUUCCUUGAGAAGAUAAAUCACAACGCUGUUUGUUUAUGUAAUUGAGGAAUACUCUGACAUCUACUUUGUAAUUAUGUCAUGAAGAAGAGAACUUGCUAUUUAAAGAAAGAAAGAAAGAAAGAAAGGCACUACUGUGUUCUGAAUUGAUCAAUACUAGUCUCAGACUCUCAGCUCCUCUCUCGCUCUUUGACUCAUAUAUAUACUAGCCUACUAGGCCACUGCUCCUACCGAAUGGCGUUACGCUUGCUUCUUAUAAUGACGGUUUUGCUCUUCUGCGUAGCCCAGGUUUCAUCUGAUGCCAAAAUCGAAAACCGGCAAACCCAGGUUUAUUCGUCAAUAUCAGUUAUCACCGCCACUAUCACUAUCAUCACUUCCAUCAACAUCACCGCCCACCUUCUCUUUAUUAUUAUUAUUAUUAUUUUAAAAAAACGAUUAAUACGCUUAAUUAUUUUUUUUUUCAGGAGGUGAAAGGAGCUAAUAGAAGGCUUUUACCCUUCGUGGACUGUGGAAGGUUGUGCAAGGGGAGAUGCAGUUUACACUCGAGGCCAAACGUGUGCACCAGAGCGUGUGGCACGUGCUGUGCAAGGUGCAAGUGUGUUCCGCCGGGGACCUCAGGGAACAGGGAAUUGUGUGGGAGGUGCUACACGGACAUGACCACUCAUGGCAACAAGACCAAGUGCCCUUAGCUUCUAAACAAGCCCCUUCUCUUUUUGCUAAAUAUAUAUAUCUGUCGCUUCCUGUGUAUCCAGUCCUUUAAUUCUCAAUGCAUGUAAUCAACUUCGAUGCCCGUCUAUCAUUGUAUUCGGGGAACCACCUUUAGCUUGUUUUUCUUUUUUA
This is a long non-coding RNA of Alnus glutinosa, 1029 nucleotides long. RefSeq lists it as uncharacterized. The transcript has 3 exons. Lineage: Eukaryota; Viridiplantae; Streptophyta; Magnoliopsida; Fagales; Betulaceae. The record is from RefSeq and is a predicted model, not a curated record.